This 104-nucleotide ribosomal RNA is filed under the name Fasciola gigantica. Lineage: Eukaryota; Metazoa; Platyhelminthes; Trematoda; Plagiorchiida; Fasciolidae. The record is from RNAcentral.
GCGACCAUACCAAGUAGGGGAACACCGGUGCUCGUCUGACUACCGAAGUUAAGCGACGUCGAGCCUGGUCAGUACUUGCAUAGAUAGUAUAUCAGGGCCUUUUU